This 253-nucleotide ribosomal RNA is filed under the name uncultured bacterium. RNAcentral's name for it is "partial 16S ribosomal RNA". It matches the Rfam family "Bacterial small subunit ribosomal RNA", at positions 524 to 776 of the family's 1533-position model. The record is from RNAcentral.
UACGUAGGGACCAAGCGCUGUUCGGAUUUACUGGGCGUAAAGGGCGCGUAGGCGGCGUGGUAAGUCACUUGUGAAAUCUCUGAGCUUAACUCAGAACGGUCAAGUGAUACUGCUGUGCUAGAGUGCGGAAGGGGCAAUCGGAAUUCUUGGUGUAGCGGUGAAAUGCGUAGAUAUCAAGAGGAACACCUGAGGUGAAGACGGGUUGCUGGGCCGACACUGACGCUGAUGCGCGAAAGCCAGGGGAGCAAACGGG